UGAGAAGGGUAUGUUGGG
Molecule: non-coding RNA, 18 nt
Filed under: Rattus norvegicus (Norway rat)
Lineage: Eukaryota; Metazoa; Chordata; Mammalia; Rodentia; Muridae
Source: RNAcentral